Molecule: ribosomal RNA, 2796 nt
Filed under: Marteilia pararefringens
Lineage: Eukaryota; Endomyxa; Ascetosporea; Paramyxida; Marteiliidae
Description: LSU rRNA
Rfam family: Eukaryotic large subunit ribosomal RNA
Source: RNAcentral
GAGGCGCGGGUCCUCGAAAGGCCCACGCCGAAGGGAAGCCAAAUUUACGCGAGUAGGGUCAUGGCCUUCACUCAGCGGCUUCGCUGCAACUCGUAGUUGUAGUGUGACGAGUUCGAUCCGUCACACCCGAUAGGGGGUGAACUAUGCUCGAUCAGAUCGAAGCCUGGCUAACGCCCGGUGGAGGAUCGUAGCGGUUCUGAUAUGCAAUUCGAUCGCGUGAGUUGAGCAUAGGGGCGAAAGACCAAUCGAACCCCCUGGUAGCUGGUUCCUUCCGAAUGGUCUCUCAGGACUGCUGACGUACGCAAAAUCGGACUCGGUCGUCGUAGAGCAACGAAUCGGGUUACCGGGACGCAACCGUCGCCGCACCCUUCUCGAACUGCAAAGACGAUCGGCUGCGGGCCUCGUUCACUUCGAGGCUCGUCACGGACCGGAAGACGUCAAGUCGGCGCUGGCCGGUAAGCGGCUAGCGUUAUGCGGGAUCAACCGCCAGCCGGUGUGAGGUGCCAAAUCGGAAUAGUGGCCCCGGAAGCAGGCAUCAUCCACGGAGUGUGUAAAAACUCACCGAUCGAAUCGUGCGGCCUCGAAAAUUGAUGGCGCUUUUAUCGGUCGACCGACCGCCGGCCGCCGAGGACGACGUCUAGCWGCACUCCGCAGCAAAAGGUGCACUGUCCUCGGCGGGUAGGAAGGCGACGCGAUGAGCCCUGAAGCUCGUCCUCGAGGACGGGUGGAGCCGUCGCGUGUGCUUAUCAUGGUUGCAGUAGCUUGAACUUCGGUCGAACCCGGAGGGCCGUAGUGGAGAAGGUUUCCUGUCGAUCGGCGAACGAGACAGGGUAAGUCGCUCCCGAGCAGACGACGAAGGUCGUUAGACAGUGCCCGACAACGGGCGAGCUGCGAAAGGGAAGCCGGCGAAAAUUCCGGCACCGCGUCAAGCCGUGUUCGACGUCUCGUGGAACGUUCGCUGCCGCAAGGUUGGCGUGCGUGCCGGGCGUCGAACGUACCGACGGCAACGUGACUGGUUCGAAGACGCUCAGCACGGCAUCGGCAUCGGUUCUCUUCCGAUGUUAAGGUGACGACGCGACGGAGUCGGUUCGCCCGGAGAUGUCGCGCGCGUCGGCGAAAAGGGUGGCAAGAACUGCGACCUUCGGUAGCCGUGCUGGGCCCGUGAAAAUUCGAACGAGCGGAUUACGAGCUUGACGCGAGCGUACCCAGAACCGCAUCAGGUCUCCGAGGUGAGAAGCCUCUGGCCGAACGGCAAAAGGCGGGCUAGGGAAUUCGGCAAAAUAGAUCCGUACCUUCGGUACAAGGAUUGGCUCCGCGGGUCGCGUCUACCGGCUUGCAUCGGCGACCGACGACGUGGCGACCGUUGUCCUCCUCGGGGGAUGGCUGUUGCAGCGGAGGCGGGCGAAGGUGCGAGUUGAGCGGUGCGGGUUUCGGCCUGCAUCGCUCGCCACGGUAGGCUAAAAACGAUCGACGCGGAGCUGGCACCGACACGGCUGACCGGACAGUUUAAUUAAAACGCAGCGCGUGGCUAUCCGCAAGCGGCGUGAAUCACGCGUGAGUCCUGCCCGGUGCUAUGAAUGUCAAGGUGGGGAGAUUCACCUAAGCACUAGUUAACGGCAGGAGUAACUAUGACUCUUUUAAGGUAGCAAAAUACCUUGUCGCAUAAUUGGCGACGUGCAUGAAUGGAUCAACCAGGUCAGCACUGUCCCAGUCCGGUCGCCGGCGAACCAACAGACGGGGGAACGGGCCCGUCAGACACAGCGGGGAAAGAAGACCCUGUUGAGCUUCACUUCAUCUGUCGCCUGCAGGCGGGUGCAGCGUCUGUAGUAAUAGAUGGGAGGCGUUCGUUUCGGCGUUCGCCGGUUGUGAAAGACCAUUGACGCAGUUACUCGCUCGCUAACCUGGUGAGAGGGGAAGCGCGCGUUCGGUCUUCGGGCCGACGCGCCAGAUCCAUGCAACAAAGCGACGACGCGGCGCACCUCGUGUGCUGCCGACCACGGACGUCGCGACCCGUGCCAGGGACAAGCCGCGGUGGGAAGUUUGGCUGGGGCGGUACGACCCGAAAAGUGUGGCCGGGUCGACCAUGAGUCGAUCUCAGUGUGGACGGAAACCUCACGUAGCGUUUAAGGACAAAUGAUCGUCUGAUCCGGCGCCACAGCACAGCGCCGGGGCUCGACAGAGCGGCCUAGCGAUCUCGAAACGGCGCCCGGUCUCGGUCGUUCGAGUGACGGAAAAGUUACCACAGGGAUAACUGGCUUGUGGCAGCCUAGUGGCCUAAAUGACGCUGCUUUUUGAUCCUUCGAUGUCGGCUCUUCCUAUCCAGGCAGUGCAAAAGUUGCCAAAGGUAAGACUGUUCGUCUGCUAACAGGGAACGUGAGCUGGGUUUAGACCGUCGUGAGACAGGUUAGUUUUAUCCUACUGUGAGUGGUCGUCCCGAUGGUAGGAUCGUUUAGUACGACAGGAACGACGAUUCAUUGCCUAUCGCAAUGGAGUCGGUCGAGAGACCGAUGCUCCGAAGCGACGCAAUUCGGAUAAGGACUGAUGGCCUCUAAAGUUCGAAGCCGUGCCAAGUGAGCGGACGACAGUGCGGGUAGACUGCUGCGACGUGAGUUUUCGUUUUGCCAGCCUCGCCGCCGUGCGAAAAAGGCCUCCUCCUUGGGGAGCAGCCUAGGGCAACAGGUGCCGCGUGUACCGACGAUGCUCCGUCGAAAGAUCACCAGUAAACGACUGGGGAGUCUCGGUACUGUAAGGCGUCGAGCUCUAGGGCGAGCGUCUGAGGUUUAGCCGGAGACUAUA